UUCCCUGGAACGGGACGCCGCAGAGGGUGAGAGCCCCGUCUGGCUGGCCACCGAGCCUCUGUAAAGCUCCUUCGACGAGUCGAGUAGUUUGGGAAUGCUGCUCAAAAUGGGAGGUAUAUGUCUUCUAAAGCUAAAUAUUGGCCAGAGACCGAUAGCGCACAAGUAGAGUGAUCGAAAGAUGAAAAGCACUUUGAAAAGAGGGUUAAACAGUACGUGAAAUUGUUGAAAGGGAAGCGCUCAUGACCAGACUUGGGCUUGGCGGAUCAUCCGGCGUUCUCGCCGGUGCACUCCGCCUCGUCCAGGCCAGCAUCAGCUCGCGCCGGGGGACAAAGGCUUCGGGAAUGUGGCUCCUCCGGGAGUGUUAUAGCCCGUUGCGUAAUACCCUGGGGCGGGCUGAGGUUCGCGCAUCUGCAAGGAUGCUGGCGUAAUGGUCAUCAGCGACCCGUCUUGAAACACGGACCAAGGAGUCGUCUUCGUAUGCGAGUGUUCGGGUGUCAAACCCCUACGCGUAAUGAAAGUGAACGCAGGUGAGAGCUUCGGCGCAUCAUCGACCGAUCCUGAUGUUCUCGGAUGGAUUUGAGUAAGAGCAUACGGGGCCGGACCCGAAAGAAGGUGAACUAUGCCUGUAUAGGGUGAAG
RNAcentral lists this ribosomal RNA (638 nucleotides) under Hypomyces semicircularis. RNAcentral's name for it is "LSU rRNA". It matches the Rfam family "Eukaryotic large subunit ribosomal RNA", at positions 186 to 851 of the family's 3401-position model. The record is from RNAcentral. Lineage: Eukaryota; Fungi; Ascomycota; Sordariomycetes; Hypocreales; Hypocreaceae.